AACGUAGGAUACAAACGUUAUCCGGAGUUACUGGGCGUAAAGGGCGUGUAGGUGGUUCUGUAAGUCUGGCGUGAAAUUUUUCGGCUUAACCGGGAAAGGUCGUCGGAUACUGCAGGGCUAGAGGACGGUAGAGGCGUGUGGAAUUCCGGGUGUAGUGGUGAAAUGCGUAGAGAUCCGGAGGAACACCAGUGGCGAAGGCGACACGCUGGGCCGUACCUGACACUGAUGCGCGACAGCAUGGGGAGCAAACAGG
RNAcentral lists this ribosomal RNA (253 nucleotides) under uncultured bacterium. RNAcentral describes it as "partial 16S ribosomal RNA". It matches the Rfam family "Bacterial small subunit ribosomal RNA", at positions 524 to 776 of the family's 1533-position model. The record is from RNAcentral.